GGUUAAGCGACUAAGCGUACACGGUGGAUGCCCUGGCAGUCAGAGGCGAUGAAGGACGUGCUAAUCUGCGAUAAGCGUCGGUAAGGUGAUAUGAACCGUUAUAACCGGCGAUUUCCGAAUGGGGAAACCCAGUGUGUUUCGACACACUAUCAUUAACUGAAUCCAUAGGUUAAUGAGGCGAACCGGGGGAACUGAAAC
RNAcentral lists this ribosomal RNA (198 nucleotides) under Escherichia coli. Its description in RNAcentral is "partial 23S ribosomal RNA". It matches the Rfam family "Bacterial large subunit ribosomal RNA", at positions 1 to 199 of the family's 2925-position model. Lineage: Bacteria; Pseudomonadati; Pseudomonadota; Gammaproteobacteria; Enterobacterales; Enterobacteriaceae. RNAcentral also lists the same sequence under 2 other names. The record is from RNAcentral.